GAAUAUUGGGCAAUGGACGGAAGUCUGACCCAGCCAUGCCGCGUGAGUGAUGAAGGCCCUAGGGUUGUAAAGCUCUUUCACCGAUGAAGAUAAUGACGGUAGUCGGAGAAGAAGCCCCGGCUAACUUCGUGCCAGCAGCCGCGGUAAUACGAAGGGGGCUAGCGUUGUUCGGAAUUACUGGGCGUAAAGCGCACGUAGGCGGAUAUUUAAGUCAGGGGUGAAAUCCCGCAGCUCAACUGCGGAACUGCCUUUGAUACUGGGUAUCUUGAGUAUGGAAGAGGUGAGUGGAAUUCCGAGUGUAGAGGUGAAAUUCGUAGAUAUUCGGAGGAACACCAGUGGCGAAGGCGGCUCACUGGUCCAUUACUGACGCUGAGGUGCGAAAGCGUGGGGAGCAAACAG
Molecule: ribosomal RNA, 399 nt
Filed under: uncultured bacterium
Lineage: Bacteria
Description: bacterial SSU rRNA
Rfam family: Bacterial small subunit ribosomal RNA
Source: RNAcentral